ACACACCUGUUCCCGUAGGAUCACUGAAGUUAAGCAACGUCGAGCCUAAUCAGAACCUAGAUGGUUAACGACUUUGGAAUCCCAGGUGCUGCAA
Acanthosepion pharaonis is the source of this 94-nucleotide non-coding RNA. The record is from the annotation of a GenBank genome assembly. Lineage: Eukaryota; Metazoa; Mollusca; Cephalopoda; Sepiida; Sepiidae.